CCCUUAGAUGUUCUGGGCCGCACACGCGCUACACUGAAGGAGGCAGCGUGUACUCCUGGAUCGAAAGAUUUGGGUAACCCGCGAAUCUCCUUCGUGCUAGGGAUUGAGGUUUGCAAUUAUCCUUCAUGAACGAGGAAUUCCCAGUAAGUGCAAGUCAUAAGCUUGCGCUGACUACGUCCCUGCCCUUUGUACACACCGCCCGUCGCUACUACCGAUUGGAUGAUUUAGUGAGGACUUCGGACUGGGACCGAUGCGGCUUUCGGGCUGCGUCGGUAUUCUGGAAAGAUGUCCAAACUGUAUCAUUUAGAGGAAGUAAAANUCGUANCA
RNAcentral lists this ribosomal RNA (327 nucleotides) under uncultured eukaryote. RNAcentral's name for it is "partial 18S ribosomal RNA". It matches the Rfam family "Eukaryotic small subunit ribosomal RNA", at positions 1470 to 1796 of the family's 1831-position model. The record is from RNAcentral.